This is a long non-coding RNA of Cervus elaphus (red deer), 783 nucleotides long. RefSeq lists it as uncharacterized. Lineage: Eukaryota; Metazoa; Chordata; Mammalia; Artiodactyla; Cervidae. The record is from RefSeq and is a predicted model, not a curated record. The transcript is spliced from 2 exons.
CCGGGCGAGUGAGGGGGGUGGGGAGGGAGCGCGCCCGCUGGGUACCUUGUUCUGGCUGCGGAUCUUCACCUCUCCCUGAGUCCUGAGAAUUCUCUGGCUGUGUGACUCUCUGCAAGUGUGCGCACCUCUCUGGGCUUCAGCGGCCAGUAGCAAAAUGGAGGAGCUCGUACCGGCUGUGAUUCAAAACGAGGAGCCGCACACAGUCGCGCAUGAGAGUGAGGACUGGGGUCCUCACUCCGCCAAGGGAUAACUUCGGGAAACUAGCUGUAAUGAUUGUACCACCUCAUAGGUCUGUUAUGAAGAUUAAGUGAGUUAAUAUUUGAAAAGUGUUUAGAGCAGCCUCUGUUACGUGACUGAGCACCUUGAGGAUGGCUUCUAUAGCUGAGACACAGAGGUGAAGGAAGAAGGCAGAAAUGAAUGAACACAUGAGCAGCUAGUCUGCCUGUUUCUUGCCAACACGUGUUCCCUGAAGUACCUUUUGGGUUUUGCCACUUCCCUGCUCCAAGUCUCUCCAUGGAUCCCUGUUGCCAAAUACAUUCAGUCUACUGUGUCUACCUCUUCCCAGCUGUGGCUAUGCCCCACCUAGCUCACGGGGGUACCCUCACUAUCAGACUCUCUUUCCUUCUCCAGGCCAGCCCUGUCUGUGCUGGCUGCUUCCCCAGGGACAGAGGGAACCAAGCCUGUUGCUAAUCUUAUGGAUUCCCCAGACUGGAGAGAAUGAAGAGGGGAGGUGCACAGCAACAAUACUGAGCUGGGUAUGCAUGGUUAAGAAUGUGUAUUGGA